Molecule: long non-coding RNA, 1116 nt
Organism: Papaver somniferum (opium poppy)
Lineage: Eukaryota; Viridiplantae; Streptophyta; Magnoliopsida; Ranunculales; Papaveraceae
Exons: 2
Source: RefSeq, a predicted model, not a curated record
UAAAAUUUGCUACCCAGUGUGCCAUUGCCAUUGGUAGUCUUCUUUAAAAAAAAAAGGAUUGUGGGUUAUUGAUGUUGCACUUUUUGUUAUCCAGAAAUAUUACUCAAAUAUUCCUUCAAAGGACUAUGUCUUCACACAUCAAGAAUUCAGGUUGCAUUUCGAAUAUUUGAAAUUGGAGUAUAUGAAUAUAGCGGUAGUGAAUGAAGCUAUUGAAUUCAUGGGGAGAACUACAAGCCAAGAUAUAGAAAUAUUGUCAAAGAAAGAUUUGAAAUGGAUAUGAAAAAACCAUUGCAUCGAGGAGGGUGAUGGAUAACAAUAUCUGGAGAUGAUGUAUGGAUUAGAUACCACUGGAGGUUGCAACCAAAAAUAUAUGUGACAGAUGCUUUUUUGUGGAUCACAUUGAUGAGACUUGUGCGCACACUACACAUCUCUUAUAACUGGAUAACUUGUCACAUGCUGAAUAUGAUGCUUAUGUGAGAGAAUAUGCUGAGGUUUAUGAAGGGAAUGAUGAGACAGAUCCAAAUAAUUCUUUUUAUGAGGCGAUGUAAGAUGAAGAGGUUUUUGAUGAGAAACAAAAGAAUGAUAAACUCUAAGCUUAAUCAAGCACCAUCUAUGAACCCACACAACAUCCAUGUCCGACCAUCCAAUGUCUUAGAAAAGAAUGAUAAACUCUAAGCUUAAUCAAGCACCAUCUAUCACUACAAGUAUGGACCGGCAUGCAGUCAUAAGGAUGAACUCGAACAACUCAGGUAAAGCACAUCUGACCCCAUAACUAUGAGUUCUGGAGAUUCUGCACAGUACGAGCAUAGCUGGCAACAGUAAACCGAGAAGAUCUUACGGCAGGCUUCCACAUUGAAAUCUAGUAUUUGUUGAGUUUAUGAUGUGUGUAUCACGGGGUUAUCUAGGGUAAUUAGUUUUAUUUUGGUCCCAUGUCAUUUUGAUUUAUUUUGUUGUUAUAUAUGUGUUGGGAUCUUGUACAGACUCUUUUUGUGGUUUGUAAAUGAAAACUUGGUGGUGUCAUGAAAAGAAGUUAUUGAAAAUGAUAGGAUACCAAGUACAUCACCAACUUUUUCGUUCGUAAACCUGUAUGGAAAAAACCUAAUACAAUUGCAAGUA